This 62-nucleotide transfer RNA is filed under the name Diurodrilus subterraneus. RNAcentral's name for it is "tRNA-Tyr". The record is from RNAcentral. Lineage: Eukaryota; Metazoa; Annelida; Polychaeta; Eunicida; Diurodrilidae.
AGUAARAUAACUUAACUAAAGUGAAARAUUGUARAUCUUUUUAUGGUAUUAACCUCUUACAA